AACGAGGCCGACCUGCGGCUGAGUUACCUGCGGAGGGAUCAUUACAGAGUUGCAAAACUCCCUAAACCAUUGUGAACGUUACCUAAACCGUUGCUUCGGCGGGCGGCCCGGGUCCUUCCCGGCGCCCAUCGGCCCUCGCGGGCGCCCGCCGGAGGUAAACCAAACUAUUGCAUUGUAUGGCCUCUCUGAGUCUUCUGUACUGAAUAAGUCAAAACUUUUAACAAUGGAUCUCAGAUCGGA
RNAcentral lists this unclassified non-coding RNA (240 nucleotides) under soil metagenome. RNAcentral's name for it is "partial contains 5.8S ribosomal RNA, internal transcribed spacer 2, and large subunit ribosomal RNA". The record is from RNAcentral.